UACAAUGGAGAGUUUGAUCCUGGCUCAGGAUGAACGCUAGCGGCAGGCCUAAUACAUGCAAGUCGAGGGGUAUAUGAGAGCUUGCUCUUAUAGAGACCGGCGAACGGGUGCGUAACGCGUAUGCAACCUACCUUUAUCAGGGGGAUAGCCCGGAGAAAUCCGGAUUAAUACCGCAUAACAUUAUUUUUUGGCAUCAAGAGAUAAUCAAACAUUUAUGGGAUAAGGAUGGGCAUGCGUGUCAUUAGCUAGUUGGUGAGGUAACGGCUCACCAAGGCGACGAUGACUAGGGGAUCUGAGAGGAUGACCCCCCACACUGGUACUGAGACACGGACCAGACUCCUACGGGAGGCAGCAGUAAGGAAUAUUGGUCAAUGGAGGCAACUCUGAACCAGCCAUGCCGCGUGCAGGAAGACUGCCCUAUGGGUUGUAAACUGCUUUUAUACGGGAAUAAACCUAUCUUCGUGAAGGUAGCUGAAUGUACCGUAAGAAUAAGGAUCGGCUAACUCCGUGCCAGCAGCCGCGGUAAUACGGAGGAUCCAAGCGUUAUCCGGAUUUAUUGGGUUUAAAGGGAGCGUAGGCGGCCUUUUAAGUCAGGGGUGAAAGACGGUGGCUCAACCAUCGCAGUGCCUUUGAUACUGAAGGGCUUGAAUGUAGCUGAGGUAGGCGGAAUGUGACAAGUAGCGGUGAAAUGCAUAGAUAUGUCACAGAACACCGAUUGCGAAGGCAGCUUACCAAACUAUAAUUGACGCUGAGGCUCGAAAGCGUGGGGAUCGAACAGGAUUAGAUACCCUGGUAGUCCACGCCCUAAACGAUGAUAACUCGAUGUUAGCGAUAUACAGUUAGCGUCCAAGCGAAAGCGUUAAGUUAUCCACCUGGGGAGUACGCCCGCAAGGGUGAAACUCAAAGGAAUUGACGGGGGCCCGCACAAGCGGAGGAGCAUGUGGUUUAAUUCGAUGAUACGCGAGGAACCUUACCCGGGCUUGAAAGUUACUGAAUCAUCUAGAGAUAGAUGAGUCCUUCGGGACAGGAAACUAGGUGCUGCAUGGCUGUCGUCAGCUCGUGCCGUGAGGUGUUGGGUUAAGUCCCGCAACGAGCGCAACCCCUAUGUUUAGUUGCCAGCAUGUAAAGGUGGGGACUCUAAACAGACUGCCUGCGCAAGCAGAGAGGAAGGAUGGGACGACGUCAAGUCAUCAUGGCCCUUACGUCCGGGGCUACACACGUGCUACAAUGGUCGGUACAGAGGGCCGCUACCCAGCGAUGGGAUGCCAAUCUCAAAAAGCCGAUCACAGUUCGGAUCGGGGUCUGCAACUCGACCCCGUGAAGUUGGAUUCGCUAGUAAUCGCGUAUCAGCAAUGACGCGGUGAAUACGUUCCCGGGCCUUGUACACACCGCCCGUCAAGCCAUGGAAAUUGGGGGUGCCUGAAGUCCGUGACCGCAAGGAGCGGCCUAGGGUAAAACCGGUAACUGGGGCUAAGUCGUAACAAGGUAGCCGUACCGGAAGGUGCGGCUGGAAUACCUCCUUU
RNAcentral lists this ribosomal RNA (1523 nucleotides) under Pseudoxanthomonas sp. SGD-10. RNAcentral's name for it is "bacterial SSU rRNA". It matches the Rfam family "Bacterial small subunit ribosomal RNA". The record is from RNAcentral. Lineage: Bacteria; Pseudomonadati; Pseudomonadota; Gammaproteobacteria; Lysobacterales; Lysobacteraceae.